RNAcentral lists this ribosomal RNA (389 nucleotides) under uncultured bacterium. RNAcentral describes it as "bacterial SSU rRNA". It matches the Rfam family "Bacterial small subunit ribosomal RNA", at positions 527 to 896 of the family's 1533-position model. The record is from RNAcentral.
GGAGGGUGCGAGCGUUGUCCGGAAUCACUGGGCGUAAAGGGCGCGUAGGCGGCAUGCCAAGCGUGUGGUGAAAGCCCGGGGCUCAACCCCGGGUCGGCCGUGCGGACUGGCGUGCUCGAGCACUGUAGGGGCGGGUGGAAUUCCGGGUGUAGCGGUGGAAUGCGUAGAGAUCCGGAAGAACACCGGUGGCGAAGGCGGCCCGCUGGGCAGGAAGACACCGCAAGGUGUCGGCUGACGCUGAGGCGCGACAGCGUGGGGAGCAAACAGGAUUAGAUACCCUGGUGGUCCACGCCGUAAACGAUGGGCACUAGGUGCCUGGGGGAGCGACCCUCCGGGUGCCGGCGCUAACGCAUUAAGUGCCCCGCCUGGGGAGUACGGCCGCAAGGCUG